CCCUUAGAUGUUCUGGGCCGCACACGCGCUACACUGAAGGAGGCAGCGUGUACUCCUGGAUCGAAAGAUUUGGGUAACCCGCGAAUCUCCUUCGUGCUAGGGAUUGAGGUUUGCAAUUAUCCUUCAUGAACGAGGAAUUCCCAGUAAGUGCAAGUCAUAAGCUUGCGCUGACUACGUCCCUGCCCUUUGUACACACCGCCCGUCGCUACUACCGAUUGAAUGAUUUAGUGAGGACUUCGGACUGGGACCGAUGCGGCUUUCGGGCUGCGUCGGUAUUCUGGAAAGAUGUCCAAACUGUAACAUUUAGAGGAAGUAAAANUCGUANCA
This 327-nucleotide ribosomal RNA is filed under the name uncultured eukaryote. RNAcentral describes it as "partial 18S ribosomal RNA". It matches the Rfam family "Eukaryotic small subunit ribosomal RNA", at positions 1470 to 1796 of the family's 1831-position model. The record is from RNAcentral.